This 113-nucleotide ribosomal RNA is filed under the name Trebouxia sp. 13 GS-2016. RNAcentral describes it as "partial 5.8S ribosomal RNA". It matches the Rfam family "5.8S ribosomal RNA", at positions 45 to 154 of the family's 154-position model. Rfam says of the family: 5.8S ribosomal RNA (5.8S rRNA) is a component of the large subunit of the eukaryotic ribosome. The record is from RNAcentral. Lineage: Eukaryota; Viridiplantae; Chlorophyta; Trebouxiophyceae; Trebouxiales; Trebouxiaceae.
CCAGCGAAAUGCGAUACGUAGUGUGAAUUGCAGAAUUCCGUGAACCAUCGAAUCUUUGAACGCAAAUUGCGCUCGAGGCCUCGGCCAAGAGCAUGUCUGCCUCAGCGUCGGCU